GGGAGCUUGCUCCUGGAUUCAGCGGCGGACGGGUGAGUAAUGCCUAGGAAUCUGCCUGGUAGUGGGGGAUAACGUCCGGAAACGGGCGCUAAUACCGCAUACGUCCUGAGGGAGAAAGUGGGGGAUCUUCGGACCUCACGCUAUCAGAUGAGCCUAGGUCGGAUUAGCUAGUUGGUGGGGUAAAGGCCUACCAAGGCGACGAUCCGUAACUGGUCUGAGAGGAUGAUCAGUCACACUGGAACUGAGACACGGUCCAGACUCCUACGGGAGGCAGCAGUGGGGAAUAUUGGACAAUGGGCGAAAGCCUGAUCCAGCCAUGCCGCGUGUGUGAAGAAGGUCUUCGGAUUGUAAAGCACUUUAAGUUGGGAGGAAGGGCAGUAAGUUAAUACCUUGCUGUUUUGACGUUACCAACAGAAUAAGCACCGGCUAACUUCGUGCCAGCAGCCGCGGUAAUACGAAGGGUGCAAGCGUUAAUCGGAAUUACUGGGCGUAAAGCGCGCGUAGGUGGUUCAGCAAGUUGGAUGUGUAAUCCCCGGGCUCAACCUG
This 546-nucleotide ribosomal RNA is filed under the name uncultured Pseudomonas sp. RNAcentral describes it as "bacterial SSU rRNA". It matches the Rfam family "Bacterial small subunit ribosomal RNA", at positions 74 to 616 of the family's 1533-position model. The record is from RNAcentral. Lineage: Bacteria; Pseudomonadati; Pseudomonadota; Gammaproteobacteria; Pseudomonadales; Pseudomonadaceae.